AACGUAGGUGGCAAGCGUUAUCCGGAUUUACUGGGCGUAAAGCGUGUGCAGACGGGGCUUCAAGUGGUGUAUGAAAUCGCUCGGCUCAACCGGGCGCGGGUAUGCCAGACUGGAGUGCUAGAGGGUGCGAGAGGGACGUGGAAUUCCGGGUGUAGUGGUGAAAUGCGUAGAGAUCCGGAGGAACCCCUGAGGCGAAGGCGGCGUCCUGGCGCACUUCUGACGUUCGGACACGACAGCAUGGGGAGCGAACGGG
RNAcentral lists this ribosomal RNA (253 nucleotides) under uncultured bacterium. Its description in RNAcentral is "partial 16S ribosomal RNA". It matches the Rfam family "Bacterial small subunit ribosomal RNA", at positions 524 to 776 of the family's 1533-position model. The record is from RNAcentral.